This 789-nucleotide ribosomal RNA is filed under the name uncultured microeukaryote. Its description in RNAcentral is "SSU rRNA". It matches the Rfam family "Eukaryotic small subunit ribosomal RNA", at positions 154 to 957 of the family's 1831-position model. The record is from RNAcentral.
AACUCUAGAGCUAAUACAUGCAUCAAUCCCUGACUUCCUGGAAGGGGUGUACUUAUUAGAUGGAAACCAGUGCGGGUUCGCCCGGAUUAUGGUGAUUCAUAAUAAUUUUCGGAUCGAUCAAUUGAUCGAUGCAUCAUUCAAGUUUCUGCCCUAUCAGCUUUGGAUGGUAGGGUAUUGGCCUACCAUGGCAUUAACGGGUAACGGAGAAUUAGGGUUCGAUUCCGGAGAGGGCGCCUGAGAAACGGCGACCAGUUCCAAGGAAGGCAGCAGGCGCGUAAAUUACCCAAUCCUGACACAGGGAGGUAGUGACAAUAAAUAACAAUGUCGGGCCUUCGGGUUUGACAAUUGGAAUGAGAACAAUUUAAAUCCCUUAUCGAGGAUCAAUUGGAGGGCAAGUCUGGUGCCAGCAGCCGCGGUAAUUCCAGCUCCAAUAGCGUAUACUAAAGUUGUUGCAGUUAAAAAGCUCGUAGUUGAAUUUCCGGUUUCGGAGUGCGGUCUGCCCCGUGGGGUAAGUAUCAGCGCUCGGGAGCCAUCCUCGAGGAGAACAUGCCUGUGAUUGAGUUCAUGGGUAUGGGAGCCUCGUCUUUUACUGUGAGCAAACUAGAGUGUUCAAAGCAGGCUUACGCCGUUGAAUACAUUAGCAUGGAAUAAUAAAAUAGGACUCUGGUCUAUUUUGUUGGUUAGUACUCCAGGGUAAUGAUUAAUAGGGACAGUUGGGGGUAUUCGUAUUCAAUUGUCAGAGGUGAAAUUCUUGGAUUUAUGGAAGACGAACUACUGCGAAAGCAUUUA